AACGAACGCUGGCGGCAUGCCUAACACAUGCAAGUCGAACGAGACCUUCGGGUCUAGUGGCGCACGGGUGCGUAAGGCGUGGGAAGCUGCCCUUAGGUUCGGAAUAACUCCCUGAAGGGGGUGCUAAUACCGGAUAAUGUCUUCGGACCAAAGAUUUAUUGCCUUUGGAUGGGCCCGCGUUGGAUUAGCUAGUUGGUAGGGUAAAAGCAUACCAAGGCGACGAUCCAGAGCUGGUCUGAGAGGAUGAUCAGCCACACUGGGAAUGAGGCACGGCCCAGACUCGUACGGAAGGGAGCAGUGGGGAAUAUUGGACGAGGGGCGAAAGCCUGAUCCAGCAGUGCCGCGUGAGUGGUGAAGGCCUUAGGGUUGUAAAGCUCUUUUAGCCGGGAUGAUAAUGACAGUACCGGGAGAAUAAGCACCGGCUAACUCCGUG
Molecule: ribosomal RNA, 433 nt
Filed under: uncultured bacterium
Lineage: Bacteria
Description: partial 16S ribosomal RNA
Rfam family: Bacterial small subunit ribosomal RNA
Source: RNAcentral